Long non-coding RNA from Piliocolobus tephrosceles (Ugandan red Colobus), 2962 nucleotides. The record is from Ensembl. NCBI's taxonomy places the organism in Eukaryota, Metazoa, Chordata, Mammalia, Primates, Cercopithecidae.
AAGGCAAAAGUCAAAAAAAAGGCAAAAGUCAAAAAAAAGGCAAAAGUCAAAAAAAAGGCAAAAAUGUCAAGCGGAAACGACGAAAUGUACAUCCUCGAGCAAAGCUUCGAGAACAACAGUGUAACGUGGAAAGAUAAAUACGAAGAAACGAAAAAUAUUUUAAAAAAAUAUAAUUUAUUUUCUGAACAUUUAAUUAAUUAUAAUGUAGAUUUUUACUUUAACAAACUUGGAUUUAACAAAUUACAUUUUGAAGAAACAAGUCCAGAAUUGAUAAGUAAAGUUGUUGUUUGUAUAAUUACGGCCAAAAUAAAUGAACAAUAUUCAAGUGAUAAAUAUUUUCCAAUUUUUGAAGAAAAACAAGAUAAUGUUAUUUUUAUAAUUUCGAGAGUGUUUGCUGAAGAUAAAAAAACUAGAUUAAAUUAUAAAUUGGAAAAAAAAAUUGAAUCAAAAUAUUUUAAUAUAACAGAUAUGUCACAAGAAUGUUACAAAUUAAGAAGUUUUAGAUCAAUACAUUCUGUUUUCGAUAAUGAAAAUGUAGAUCAAGAACCACUUAGAACAUAUAUUUUAGAAUUGCCAACAUAUAAACCUGAUCCUAUCUCUGAAGGUGAAACUGAUUUAGAAAAAUUAAUGGAUAUAAGUUUUUAUAAUCAUAUAAAAGGUACACCAAAGGAAAAUAUAUAUUACGAACUUAAUAAAGCUGUAUUAUUUGAUUUAACAGGCCAGUUAAUACAAACACAUUAUUACAUGAUGUCUAAAAAUAGUGCUUCCCUUUCAAUAGCUGUAAAAAGAAGUAAUAUAAAACCUACCAUAUUUUCAUUAAUAGGUCAAUGUUUAAACAUGCAUAAAUGUUUUUCUUAUUCUAAAUAUGUUCAACCGUUAAAAAAUGGAGUUUUAUUAAUUAUAUUAAAUAUAACAGCUACUAGUGUACAAAAAAAUAAUAAACCAAAAAAAACUUUAGAAGAAAGAAUACAUCAAAUUAUAAAAUCGGUUAAAACAUUAUGUUUUUUUAACUACCCCAAAUUUAUACCAACACUAACAAAAAGAGUAUUCACAGCAGAAAUAGCAGCUUAUCUUUAUAUUAUGACACAAUUUAUUACUUUUUUUUCUGCAAACACUUUAUCAAGUUAUAAAAAUGUAGAAAAUGAAUUAAAUAUACGAUCUUAUAACAACAAUUCUGUGUUAAACGAUUUUUAUAUUAUAAAAGAAAAAUUAAAAAAAGCUGUUUAUACAAAAGAUGAUAUAUUAGAUUGUGCCCUUAGUAAUGUACAAAUUAUUAAAGCGUUAUAUAAUAAUUUUGAAAAAAAAAUGAAUAAAAAAAAUUAUACAUGUAGUAAGAAGGGGUCAAGUACAAACGGAGUAAACGGGGUAAACGAGAUAACUGGCACAACUCCCAACAGUUCUAUUAAUAACAAUGCUCUCAACAAAAACACAAUUACAAACAAAAGUAGCAAAGAUAUUAUCGACGAAAUUGAAAAUAAUCACCAUAAAAAUAUAUUACAAUAUUUUUAUUUGUUUGAAGAAUGUGUAGUUAAAACAAACUUUUUUAAAACACAUAAAAUAAGUUUUGCUGUAGCGUUUGACGGUCGUAUAUUAAAAGAUUCGAUUUAUGAAGCACAACCAUAUUCUAUUAUAAUGAUUUUAGGAUUAUAUUUUGUUGGAUUUCAUAUAAGGUUUAGUAGUAUAUCAAGAGGAGGUAUACGUAUAGUUAUAUCUAACAACAUGAAUUCGUAUAUGCAUAAUUAUAACAAUUUGUUUGAUGAAGCAUAUAAUUUAGCAUUUACACAAAAUUUUAAAAAUAAAGAUAUACCAGAAGGAGGUAGUAAAGGAAUUAUUUUAUUAGAUCCAGCAUAUUGUAACAAAACAAAUACAAAAUAUAUUAAAAAUUUAUCUUUUUAUUCCUAUGUUAAUUCUAUUUUAGAUUUAUUAGUACCAGAAAGUUAUGAAAGUAUACAAACAGUUCAGGUAAAAAAUGUUCCAAACAAAUAUAACAUAUCAGAUAAGAGUAAAGAAAAUGUCAUUAAUAAAAAAAAAGAUAGUGUAAACAAAUCUAUUACGAAUGGUAUUUUAAUAAAAUGUGAUAUAUUAGAUAUAAGUAGAGAAAACAAUACUAUUGUCAAUUUAAAAGAAGAAACUGUGAAUAAAUCUUCUAUUAACGGAAUAAUAAAACAUUGUGAUGAAGAUGAAGAUUUAAUCUUUCUUGGUCCUGAUGAAAAUACUGGAUGUGAUCAAUUAAUGGAUUGGGCAAAUAUUAUAGCUAAAAAAAGAAAUUAUAAAUAUUGGAAAACUUUUUCAACAGGUAAAGAAAGAAAAAAUGGUGGUGUACCUCAUGACUAUUAUGGUAUGACUACGUUAGGUAUAGAAACAUAUAUUAAAAAAUUGUGUGAACAAUUAAAUUUAAAAGAUGAAGAAAUUGAAAGAUCUAUUGUUGGAGGUCCUGAUGGAGAUUUAGGUUCUAAUGCUAUUUUACAAUCAAAAAAUAAAAUAGUUUCUAUUAUAGAUGGUUCAGGUGUUUUAUAUGAUAAAAAUGGUUUGAAUAAAGAAGAAUUAAUACGAUUGGCAAACUUAAGAAAUGAUAAAAAAGCAAAAGUAAAUACUUCUUGUGUAUUAUAUAAUGAAAAAUAUUUAUCAAAUGAAGGAUUUAAAGUUUCUAUUCAAGAUCAUAAUGUAAAUAUAUUAGGAAAAGUAAUUAAAAGUGGAUUAGAAUUUAGAAAUACUUUUUUUUUAAAUCCAUUAAAUAGUUGUGAUCUAUUUAAUCCAUGUGGUGGUAGACCUCAUUCCAUAAACGUUUUUAAUGUUACAAAUCUUCUUAUUAAUGAAAGUUGUAUUUAUAAGUAUAUAGUAGAAGGUGCAAAUGUUUUUAUAUCCGAUGAUGCAAGAAAUAUUUUAGAAAAAAAAAAAUGUUAUACUUUUUAAAGAUGCUUCAACAAAUAAAGGAGGUGUUAUAUCAAGUAGUUUAGAAGUA